AUGGUUUUACGUGAUGACAAGGGUGGUGUUAUUUUUGCGGCUUACCGACGCAUUUAUCACUGUAAUGAGGUGCUGGAAGCGGAGUUACAUGCGAUUAUGGAAGGAGUGAGUCUCGCAAUUCAACAGUCAAAUCGACCAGUUCAGCUACAAUCUGAUUGUUUGGCAGCUUUGUCAGCACUAUCUAAUGAUUCACUGGAUAGAUCAGCAUAUGGUCAUCUUUUGGCAGAAAUCAAAGGUUUACUGGAGAAUAGGGUGUUUGUUCGUGUUAAAGUUUCUCGUGAUCAAAACAAAGUUGCACAUUGCUUAGCAAAUUAUGGUAGAUCUGGGGAUAGCACUGCGUGCUGGCUUAACCAAUCCCCUCCUUUUAUUUCUGAACUUGUUGCUAAGGAUUGUAAUUCUGUGAGUUUGGAAUAA
Molecule: ribosomal RNA, 414 nt
Filed under: Triticum aestivum (bread wheat)
Lineage: Eukaryota; Viridiplantae; Streptophyta; Magnoliopsida; Poales; Poaceae
Description: partial small subunit ribosomal RNA
Source: RNAcentral